Molecule: ribosomal RNA, 492 nt
Filed under: uncultured bacterium
Lineage: Bacteria
Description: partial 16S ribosomal RNA
Rfam family: Bacterial small subunit ribosomal RNA
Source: RNAcentral
AGUGAACGCUGGCGGUAGGCCUAACACAUGCAAGUCGAACGGCAGCACAGUAAGAGCUUGCUCUUACGGGUGGCGAGUGGCGGACGGGUGAGGAAUACAUCGGAAUGUACUUUUUCGUGGGGGAUAACGUAGGGACACUUACGCUAAUACCGCAUACGACCUACGGGUGAAAGCAGGGGAUCUUCGGACCUUGCGCGAUUGAAUGAGCCGAUGUCGGAUUAGCUAGUUGGCGGGGUAACGGCCCACCAAGGCGACGAUCCGUAGCUGGUCUGAGAGGAUGACCAGCCACACUGGAACUGAGACACGGUCCAGACUCCUACGGGAGGCAGCAGUGGGGAAUAUUGGACAAUGGGCGCAAGCCUGAUCCAGCCAUACCGCGUGGGUGAAGAAGGCCUUCGGGUUGUAAAGCCCUUUUGUUGGGAAAGAAAAGCAGCAGGUUAAUACCCCGCUGUUCUGACGGUACCCAAAGAAUAAGCACCGGCUAACUUCGUG